GACGAACGCUGGCGGCGUGCUUAACAUAUGCAAGUCGAACGAAGAGCGACGGAAGCUUGCUUCUAUCAAUCUUAGUGGCGAACGGGUGAGUAACGCGUAAUCAACCUGCCCUUCAGAGGGGGACAACAGUUGGAAACGACUGCUAAUACCGCAUACGAUCUAACCUCGGCAUCGAGGAUAGAUGAAAGGUGGCCUCUACAUGUAAGCUAUCACUGAAGGAGGGGAUUGCGUCUGAUUAGCUAGUUGGAGGGGUAACGGCCCACCAAGGCGAUGAUCAGUAGCCGGUCUGAGAGGAUGAACGGCCACAUUGGGACUGAGACACGGCCCAGACUCCUACGGGAGGCAGCAGUGGGGAAUCUUCCGCAAUGGACGAAAGUCUGACGGAGCAACGCCGCGUGAGUGAUGACGGCCUUCGGGUUGUAAAGCUCUGUUAAUCGGGACGAAAGGCCUUCUUGCGAAUAGUGAGAAGGAUUGACGGUACCGGAAUAGAAAGCCACGGCAAACUACGUG
RNAcentral lists this ribosomal RNA (510 nucleotides) under uncultured bacterium. RNAcentral's name for it is "partial 16S ribosomal RNA". It matches the Rfam family "Bacterial small subunit ribosomal RNA", at positions 28 to 507 of the family's 1533-position model. The record is from RNAcentral.